AGAGUUUGAUCCUGGCUCAGGAUGAACGCUGGCGGCGUGCCUAACACAUGCAAGUCGUACGAGAAAGGGGCUUCGGCCCUGAGUAGAGUGGCGCACGGGUGAGUAACGCGUGGGUAAUCUACCCUUGGAUUUGGGAUAACUCUGCGAAAGUGGAGCUAAUACCGGAUAGUCUGGCUUUUAGUAGAAGUCGGUAAAGGAUGCCUCUGCAUAUGCAUUCGUCCGAGGAUGAGCCCGCGUCUCAUUAGCUAGUUGGUAGGGUAAUGGCCUACCAAGGCAACGAUGAGUAGCUGGUCUGAGAGGAUGAUCAGCCACACUGGAACUGAAACACGGUCCAGACUCCUACGGGAGGCAGCAGUGGGGAAUAUUGCGCAAUGGGCGAAAGCCUGACGCAGCAACGCCGUGUGAGGGAUGAAGGCUUUCGGGUCGUAAACCUCUGUCGGAAGGGAAGAACGGGCAUUGGUCUAAUAGGCCUUUGUUUUGACGGUACCUUUAGAGGAAGCACCGGCUAACUCCGUGCCAGCAGCCGCGGUAAUA
This 534-nucleotide ribosomal RNA is filed under the name uncultured bacterium. RNAcentral describes it as "bacterial SSU rRNA". It matches the Rfam family "Bacterial small subunit ribosomal RNA", at positions 8 to 525 of the family's 1533-position model. The record is from RNAcentral.